Molecule: ribosomal RNA, 862 nt
Filed under: Niphargus jovanovici
Lineage: Eukaryota; Metazoa; Arthropoda; Malacostraca; Amphipoda; Niphargidae
Description: partial large subunit ribosomal RNA
Rfam family: Eukaryotic large subunit ribosomal RNA
Source: RNAcentral
GGUAGUGCAGAUCUUGGUGGUAGUAGCAAGUACUCUGGUGAACCAACCUGGAGCUGUGAGGUCUGGAUCAGGGUUCCAUGUCAACAGUGAUUGAACAUGGGUGAGUCGAUCCUAAGCCAACUGUGAAAGCAGUGACAUCCCGACAAAGGGGCGGUACAUGCGUAGCACUUACACCCCCAGUAUGAAAGCUCUCGAGUAUCUCUCUCACACACAAGCGCACUGUCUGGCUGGUAUGGCAUAAGAAAGCGCACACACACUGUGAUCACUACAAACACGUGUGAGUGUGUGUGCGCGCAGGUCUGGUUACGCUCACGUAAGCGUUGUUGCUCUCUGUCUGGUAAUACAAGGAAGGAAGGAACGAAAGAGAGAGAAAUUGAGUGAUCAGGGUGAGCGUGAGAUUUGCACUUGCAUGAUCCUUCUGCGUCUGGUUCUAUGUCUGGCGAAAGGGAAUGGGGACUUUGUUCCUUGACCGGUCCCGGCACCCUCGAUUGGCUUUGCCAAUUAAUGGUCCAUGCAAAUGGAACCAGGCCACAGCCGCCGGCAGUCGCCCGAGGAAGAGUUUUCUUUUCUGCUUAACGCACGAGGUCAUCCCUGGAAACAGUUCGGCUGGCGAAAGGGUGCCCCGUUGCGGCAGAGCGCCACGACUGUCGUGCGCGUCUCGGUGUUCCUGCCGGUCCGUGAAGACGUGGUCGAGGGGAUUGCUCUUGUAUCAACGAAACGCCCGACAAGUUCGGGACGGACCGUACCCUAUAUCCGCAUCUGGUCUCCAAGGUUCGUAGCCUCUGCAGAGUCAGACACAUGUAGGUAAGGGAAGUCGGCAAACUCGAUCCGUAACUUCGGGAAAAGGAUUGGCUCUGAGGGC